RNAcentral lists this long non-coding RNA (635 nucleotides) under Gallus gallus (chicken). Lineage: Eukaryota; Metazoa; Chordata; Aves; Galliformes; Phasianidae. The record is from RNAcentral.
GGGGGAGGGGCUGUGGGGGUGGGUGGGGAGGAAGGGGGGCACAAAGGGGGUGGGGGGGGGACAAAAUGGCAGCGGAGGGCCGUGGCCUGCUCGCGUUGCUAUGGAAACGGAGCCUGAGGCCUACAGCGUGGAAGUGAAGCCUGAGGCCUGCUCGCGUUGCCAUGGUAACGAAGCCUGAGGCCUGUGCCUGUUACCGUGGAAACGAAGCAAAGGGCCUUUUGGUAUCGCCGUGGAAACGAAGCCUGCGGCCUGCUCCUGUUGCCAUGGUAACGAAGCCUGCGGCCUGCUCCUGUUACCAUGGUAACGAAGCCUGCGGCCUGCUCCCGUUACCAUGGAAACGAAGCCUGCGGCGUCCUGCUGUCACCAUGGAAAUGUAGCCUAAGGCCUGCUCCAGCCCCCACAGCUACGCAGCCUGCUCCAAUCGCUACGGCAGCACAGCCCGCGGCCUGCACCUGUCGCCAUGGCAACACAGCCCGCGGCCUGCACCAGUCGCCAUGGCAACAAAGCCUGCGGCCUGCUCCAAGCCGCUCUAAGGACAGCGCUCGGAGCAGGCGUGCAAAGCGCCAAUAAAACCCAAAGCCCUUCGAGAGAAUUUGACGAUUCUUUUCCGGAAUAAAUCUUUUAUUAGUUUUCGA